UUUGACCUCGGAUCAGGUAGGGAUACCCGCUGAA
RNAcentral lists this ribosomal RNA (34 nucleotides) under Diaporthe ocoteae. RNAcentral's name for it is "partial 28S ribosomal RNA". The record is from RNAcentral. RNAcentral also lists the same sequence under 1 other name. Lineage: Eukaryota; Fungi; Ascomycota; Sordariomycetes; Diaporthales; Diaporthaceae.